This 239-nucleotide long non-coding RNA is filed under the name Jatropha curcas. RNAcentral's name for it is "long non-coding RNA (JCUR_LNC003502)". Lineage: Eukaryota; Viridiplantae; Streptophyta; Magnoliopsida; Malpighiales; Euphorbiaceae. The record is from RNAcentral.
CUGAUAAUGAACUUGGUGGAGCAGUCAAAAAGCCAAAUCAUUAUUUAUAAUUAAAAUAAUUUCUUUUCUGAAAAUGGCGCACAAUAUAUAAUUUAAGCAAAAUUACCUCCGCACUUGAUGGAAGACCUUGACAUACAUCAACUUAAUUAGUUUUUAAUCUUAGCUUUUCUGCAUAUUUUAUCUGUAGUGCUUGAAGACUUGACCGCAACUAUCAGAUAAUUAUUUUGUUUAACCUCAAA